AUCGCUUCUUGGCCUUUUGGCUAAGAUCAAGUGUAGUAUCUGUUCUUAUCAACUUAAUAUCUGAUCCGUCCUCUAUCCGAGGACAACACAUUAAAUGGAUAUUUGGAACAGGGGAUGGAAAAGGGGCCUGCUCCGUCCACUCCACGCAUCGACCUGGUAUUGCAGUAGCUCCAGGAACGGUGCACUCCUC
RNAcentral lists this small nuclear RNA (190 nucleotides) under Castor canadensis (American beaver). RNAcentral's name for it is "U2 spliceosomal RNA (ENSCCNG00000019603.1)". It matches the Rfam family "U2 spliceosomal RNA". Rfam says of the family: U2 is a small nuclear RNA (snRNA) component of the spliceosome (involved in pre-mRNA splicing). Lineage: Eukaryota; Metazoa; Chordata; Mammalia; Rodentia; Castoridae. The record is from Rfam by way of RNAcentral.